GCUCUUUUCAAAGUAUUAAUUAAAUAAAAAAGUUCAGAAUGGAGUCUGUUUUAUUAAAGAAACUGUUCGAAAUGAAAGUGUAAUCAGUGUAAAGGAAAAUCAGCUCUAACUUCUCCAAUUUACCGGUAACGGAAUUCAGAACAAAGUUGUUUGUUUACCAAGCAAAAAGUGUAUUCGGUCAGUGUUGGAAGAGGAAGUGUUUUCAGAGUCAAGUCAGUGCAGUAAUGGAAAAGCCAAAGUGAAGAUAUUAUGUUGAUCAUAAUUGGUGAGCAUGGGAGGAAACUGGUACGUUUCCAGUGUAAAUUGUGGAAAGAGAAGAAGUUGUGUGUGAAGUGAAUUCAGUGCACUCACAGAAAAUAAGGGAAAAAAAAUAGUGAAAGUGAAUAGCGCAUCAAAAGGCCUGUGUAGUGUCGCAAGAAUAAGUGCUAAUUGUGAAUAUAAGUGAGAUAUGCACACCCUGCCCUUGUGAUGGCCCACUCAACAAGGAUUGCAGCAGCAUCAUGUGCAUCAAGUCUGUCUUCAACAUACAGUUCAAGUAGACCAACAAUCUUCAUUAUUUGUAACGUCUUCGUCGCUCACUUGCAAACAUCCAUAUACACACCAAACUGCAACGCAUCGCCGGCCCCCCUCAGUGACCCUGUGGCUCAUCGUGCCGAGGGGCUGUAACAAGGAAAGUUGCACGUGGGCCAGUUCUUUUGCUUCCACAUGCUCUGAUUUCUGAUACAAUAGAAUACUGAUUGUAAAGAAUAAUUCAAACCGUUACACAUUCCGAUAAUGUGGCUUCCAACCCCUUGAGAAUAAUUUUGGAACCAAAUUCUAAACAUAAUACCGAAUGAGAUGACAUAAUCAUCACCGAAUUUCAGUUAUGAAUAACGAAGAAGAGUACAAAGUGAUUCGAGGGUCAGCAUUGCACGACUGAUGAAUAUUAACUCCAAGGGAUUCAACAGAACUUAAUCAUUUUUAAUAUUUAAAGUGCCAUUGAACAACUUGAUCAAUUACACUUCCAUAAAAAAUGCUGAAAUACUGUGUGUUUACUGUAGUGCACAACAAUGAUAUAUUACAGGCAUUAUUAAUACUGACACACACAGUGUGGUUGUGCUCAAUUCUAGACUCCACACUACAUAUUGUCUUCUACCAUACAUCUGUCAUAGUUCAAUUUGCAUUUCAGGCAAGCAUGAAAUAUACAGCAACAUAACCAAAAGACAAACCACACAUGAUGAGUAUCCAGCCUUGAGUGCCCUCCCAUGUGUACUUUGUAUUCCACCUUUUGUUUCCAUAAGCACUUCGGUACAGCCAUCCAUAGCACAGAUAUUUGAAAUGUAGAUGUCACAGAUUUGGUCUCCGCUUCACCCAUUGCUCUCCACCAACCUGCUAUUAUAAUUUAUAAUCUCUUAACAUGGUUAAAAGAUCUUCGUCUGUCUCUCGCAUUGCCUACCACACAACUUUG
This is a long non-coding RNA of Cryptotermes secundus, 1447 nucleotides long. RefSeq lists it as uncharacterized. The transcript is spliced from 3 exons. The record is from RefSeq and is a predicted model, not a curated record. NCBI's taxonomy places the organism in Eukaryota, Metazoa, Arthropoda, Insecta, Blattodea, Kalotermitidae.